GGCUCGUUGGUCAAGUGGUUAAGACUCCGCCCUCUCACGGCGGCAACAAGGGUUCGAAUCCCUUACGAGUCACCA
Molecule: transfer RNA, 75 nt
Filed under: Clostridia bacterium
Lineage: Bacteria; Bacillati; Bacillota; Clostridia
Description: tRNA-Glu
Rfam family: tRNA
About the family: Transfer RNA (tRNA) molecules are approximately 80 nucleotides in length. Their secondary structure includes four short double-helical elements and three loops (D, anti-codon, and T loops). Further hydrogen bonds mediate the characteristic L-shaped molecular structure. tRNAs have two regions of fundamental functional importance: the anti-codon, which is responsible for specific mRNA codon recognition, and the 3' end, to which the tRNAs corresponding amino acid is attached (by aminoacyl-tRNA synthetases). tRNAs cope with the degeneracy of the genetic code in two manners: having more than one tRNA (with a specific anti-codon) for a particular amino acid; and 'wobble' base-pairing, i.e. permitting non-standard base-pairing at the 3rd anti-codon position.
Source: RNAcentral